UCUGUUUUUUGAAAAUGGGGACCACAUUAGCCUUUUCCCAGUCCUCUGGCACCUGGCCAGAGCACCACGAGUGCUCGUAAAGCCAUGCCAGGCACCCUGCAGUGACCCCUGCCAAUUCCUUCAGCACCCUGGGGUGGAGAGCAUCUGGACCUGCUGAUUUAAACAUGUCCAGCCCCACCAGAAGUUCCCUAACUAGGUCCUCCCUGACCCUAGGCCUAGUGGUGCCUUUUCUGAGUCUGUCCAGAAUCCCAGUGGGGGGGGGAUGUCCUGGUCCCUGCUCAGAAAAUGGAGGCAAAGAAUUUGUUAAAGAAGUCAGUUUUUUUCUGGUGCAACCGCUAGGCCUGUACGAGUCGGCAGCGAUCUGAUCCAGGUUUGCAUUGCCAGACCACAGGAGCGCAGGGUCAUGUCGGUACCCCACGGCCAGAAGCAGGAGUGGGAGUAGGCGUGUGUGUAUGUGCAACGAGGGAGGGAGGGAGAGACUGUGUGUGCAAUGAUGUGUGCAUGCAAUGAGAGAAGGAGGGAGACACUGUGUGUGUGUGUGUGUGUGUGUGCAUGUCACAAGUUUUGCCUGUCAGCAGCCAGAGGUGCAGGGCUCCAGAACCCAGAAGACCUGCACCGAUCUCCUCGACAGCUGGCAGGCUUCAAGGCCGCAGCAGGGGCCACCAUCCCUGCAGCUUUCACCUUUCUGCACCUUAACACACACAGUGUCACCCAUGGCACAAGUUUUGGUUGUCCGCAGCUUGAGGUGCAGUUUCCCCCAAACCCCUGCACCUAUCUCCUUAAAACUUCACAGGCUUUGUGGCCUGAGCAGGGGCCACAACCCCUGCAGUUUUCAGCCCACUGCACCAUGACACACACAGGGUCAUCUAUGCCACGAGUUUUGCCUGUCAGCAGCUUGAGGAGCAGUUCCCCCACAACCCCUGCACUGAUCUUCUUAAAAUUUGGCAGGCUUUGUGGCCUCCCAAGGAGCCACCACCCCUGCAGCUUUCACCCCCCUGUGGUGUAACACAUAGACAUGACAUGAGUUUUGCAUUCAAGAAUUUGGGGUGCAGUUCCCCCCAAACCUCUGCACCAUAUUGUGAAAAUUAGCAAAAUGAAGGAAUCACCAAAUUGCUCCUCUACACCAGCCCCAGCCUCUCACUAGCCACAGUGCCCUGUGCCCCACAGUCCCUUUACCCGCUACUUCAGCAGUAAGAGCAAGGAGCCUUUGGCAGCUGGGGGGAAGAAGACUGCCUGCCUAGAGGCGGAUGGUUAGUGAGGAGCAUUGUGCUCCAAGGCAGGACAGUCUGGGUCCCCUCCAAACACCUUGAGCUUGGUCCAGCGCAGUGUUUCUCAGCCAAGGUGCCAUGGCAGCCUGCAGGGCCUUGAGAUCCUCUCAAAGGUGCUGCAGGGUGCCAUGCGGUGUUAGCAUUGUUAGGUGUGCAAAUAUGAUUCACACGAUAAACCCAGAGAUUUCAAAUAGGAAUUUAUGUUGAUAAAAACAUUCUGCCCUGUCGUGGUCUUUACCAGUUCUUUUUAAUAGAAGCAUUGCUGUAUUAUUUUUCUGUAGUCAAAAAACUAGUGAAAACUAAGCUGGUAGUUUCUGGGAGGGCUUUGAGUCUACAAAAGUUAUCAGCCACUGGUGUAGUGACACUCUGGAGCUCUGCACGUUCCUAUUUGCCCCGUGACCCGCCAGGUCUCCGUGAAUCCUGCCAACAACCUGGCCUCAACGCUACGUGAGAGUUUGAACACAAACCCACAAAAUUGCCCGUGACCUGUGUCAGAACCAAGUAUUUAGAUGCCUGUGGCACAGUGGAAUAUUCCUUUGGUUUGAUCCAUAGUGGAACAUUUUGCUGUCAAUCAUUAAAGUAGGUCACAGCAAGGAAAAAGUAGGUCAGAGGUGGAAAAUUCCACUAUGUAGCGAUAUGCCACUGUAAUGGAAAGUUACAGCUUUAGAAAAAGUUCCUGCCAACUUCAUGCAAAUACGUACACCAUGAUUGGCCGGUUCCAAAUUAUUCCUACGUGGCGACUAGCAAUUGGCUCGCUAGCCGUAUAAAAGGUAAAUCAGUUUCCGCCCAGGUUUGAAGAACUCCUCAUAGUUCUCCAGGUGGGAGAACUCCACAUCUCUCCAGCUUAGCACGUUGGAGCAUUAGGAGAACUCAGAGAGCGAGCCCGGAGAGCUCGAACUCCGUGCAUAUAUCUCUGAGAAACCCUGGUGGAUUGAUCACCCAUCAGGGACUUCCCGUCGCCGACCUACCCGACAACCCCCCCCCCCUUCUUGCAUGCUUGCUCAGCCGUUCACGGACGUCUCAUCUUCCAGAAAGUUUUCAUUUUGUUCAGUUUACAACGGUAACCUAAGCCAGUCAACUCUGCCUGCACCUAUACAUCAGGGGCUCCAAGUCGUGGCAGGAGAGCAUAAAGGCGUGAUGAAGAUUUGUUGUAAUGGAGGAAGACAUUAAGUAAUAUUUUGACUGUAUCAGAAAGUGUGCUAUGCUAGACAAAAUGAAACAUGAAAUCAUGACUGUUGUAAUGCUAAAGCCUGAAGCCCUUAGCCAUGGGCCUUCAGGGAAGGUGGGGGAAGCUGUGUGGAAGGGCUAUUCUGCCCAAGAAGACCCAGCAGGACAGAAUACCACAGCAACCAGCUGCCCUGCUUGAACUCCUACAUUAACAGGACUGGCAGGUUUUAUCAAGACUUUUGCAAAAAAAAGUGGGUUCUAUCUAAAAUCCGCCACACCACAGGAAAGACUUGGGGAGAGAGGGAGGACAGACGGGAGUGUAUGUGGAUGUAGAGUACACAAGUAAGGUAAAAAAAUUGGGGCUACAUGAACAAAGACACAAAAAAAAAAGUACUGUGGGGGGGAUGCACUUGGUAGUGAAAAGCUGGCUAAAAACUUUGUGUGUGUGAAAAGAACAUUAUCACAAAAUUUACUUUCAACCAACACUGUUCAAACCUGCAUGUAGUCUUGAUCUUGAUUUUUAGGGAAAACCUUUUUUCUUGGGUUAAAAGAAAGAAAGAAAAAGAAAACAGGCUAGACUGGGCAUUCUUAAAGAAGCUGCACUAUAGCAAGAGUGAGGGGAGGCACGCAGGCCAGCACCAACCGGGGGUGCUGAGAGGGAACCACCAGCCAUGAGUAAAGCAUAGUUACUUGGGAUAAUUACCUGGACUACAUGAAAAGACAACCCAAGAAAAGCAAACAAUACAUGCAUGAUCCUUGAAAUAAGCUAAUGACGCACAGUUCACUAAGUAGCUGCUUGGAAUAGCUUGACCAUUUGUAAUUUUUUAGCAUUUUUAAAUCUUGCACACUGCACUGCAGACCGGGGCACGUAGAAUCAGCAGGGGGAGCAGGAAGACGCAGCGUGGGUGUGCAUGUCUGUAAGCCCCAUGUAGAAAAAUGUGACUGAGCAGUAGGCACCCACAGUGCUAGAAGACAAGAGUACAAAGGUGGGGGGGGGGAGGCUACUUUGCCGAGAAGCCCCAGCCAUGUGGCAGGAGUGGGGGCCAACAGCAAUUGUGAAAGGCUCGGAGGGCCUGUCCGGAGAAGGGUGUUCUCUGAAAAACUGCACUGUAGCAAGAGAGGGCAUGUAGGCCCAAAUGAGACCCAAAAAGAGAGAGAGACCGUUUUCUCUGACACGUUACAUCCCAAAACCGAAACUACAUUCUACUAAUUUUGCUGUACCUACUGGACCCAGCACCCAUACAUAGCAGUGCUUUUCGUCUGUGACUGGAGAGUUCACCGAGCCCAAGUAAGGUAAUAACAAGGUGCAUUGCAGAGCACUAUCAGUGAGGGUAACCAGUACGUUAAGCUGUACCCUCUGCCACUUGCUCCCAGGAAUGUUACCCUGUGCCAGCUGCUCCUAGAAACUGCCAACUGUUCCCAGGAAUGUUAAUACACUAUGGUCUGGAGAGGUUGGGAUCCUGCUGGUAUUCCAGUGGUGAAGCAUAGGCUCAAGCAGAUACCAGGGUUUUACACACACACGUGUGUGUGUGUAUGAAUCUUAAGCAGAAGCUGCCCAGCUUGUUGAAAAUAGCCAAUGAUAUGCCCAGCUUGAACUCUUACAUCAUUGGGACUGACUGAGUGCAGGGGGGAGUUGGUGGAAAUGUGGCCAUAGGCAAAGGAGCAGGGUGAACAGACUCAAAUGGGUGUGUGGGUGUGAGAGAGUUUAGGUUAAAAGUGAGCUCUUAUUUCUGUGCUGUGAAAUACUUUCUAUUUGCCAUUUAAGUUUAUUAGAAAAAGUCUAUUUUUUAAGUGUGACGAGGCUUUUUAGGCUAAAUAUUUAUUUAGAACAAAGGUUUGCAAAGUACUCCUUUCGAAAUGCGUGGUUGUCUAAAUAGCUCCUGUGGCGGGUCAGUAGGGGGUAACAUGUUCUGCCAACACCCCGAGAAGGGUCUGUCCAGGUUCUGUGUCCUCGGGGAAACAUAAGCUUAAUAGUCCUAUGAGUACUUGACCCAAUACAAGAACUUGGGGCACUUCCCCAAGUCGGGGGACAAAAAGGAUAGUCUCCCUUAGUCCGCAGACCCAAGGGGCCUCCUAGGCAUAAGUAAACCCACCCCUCAGUAAGUCUCCUACACCAGUCACAAAGGAGAACUUUAUUGAUUAUAGAGGGUAGGGUUACAAGGGUAGAGCAAUAUCAGAGAAAUCCCAGAGCAUUCACAGAAGAGCGACAAGCCAUGGGGCAGGAGUGAGGGAGGAAAGUUUUUUGCCUGAGAAGCCCAGUCAUGGUGAAAGCACCAGCAAGGGGUGGCAAGCCCUAGACCCCAGGCCAGCCAUAGGGAAAGCAGUAGGGGCAGGGAACAGGCUAAGGAGGCCCUGUGGCAACAGUGAAGAAGGUCCACCAUUGAGUUGUUGGCUACAAAGGACCAACUCACAGGAUCAUCAUAAAAUUCUAGUUUAUUGGACAGAUGCAAAAGUCAGACCAUAAACCUUGGUGCUGAUCCCCUCAAACACGCACACAUUCAUGCACACACACAUACAGUAGCUAGCUCUGAACACUAAACACUGGUGUCAAGAUAUACCUAUCCCCAAGUGCUGGAGUCUGCCGUCGAUGGCCAGUCGAAGCUUCUUUCAGUGCGAUGUUGCUGCAGAAGUGGGUAGCCGGCUGGUCCUUCUGGGUAAACAGGCAGGGUGCUGGUCAGGUCAAAGCGGGCACCAUCAGGGGUUAUUCUUUGUUGCCUUUUCUCCCUCUCUGGCAGGCUUUGGCGACCCCCCAGUUCUCAGGCUUACCCAAUCCAGGGGUCAUUGACCGUGAGGGACGUCCCCAGCCAUGGGUAAAGCAGCAUGGGUAAGAGGCAAGGAGAAGGGCGGUCCAGGGAGGCGAGAGCAUGUGCUUAGAGGUCCCAGCACCCUCUACGCCCACACUUCCCAGCCAAGCCAUGGGGCAGGAGGGAGGGAGGGUUUUUUUGCCCAAGAAUCCCAAGCAGGCAGGGUUGGUAAGCAAAGUGCAAACCCCAAGCUGUGGGAAAAGAGGGAGCUAGGGAGCAAGGGACAUUAGGGCUUGUUCAUUCCCUGGGACAUGGCCAGUAACCAGGAAGAAAGGUGGGUGGGUGUGUGUGGUGGUGGUGGUGUUUGUCUGUCUGUCUGCAGCAUGAGGAAGAAGGAGUGAGGCCCUAUUCUGGUACAGUUACAGUCUUGAAAUAUCUCUGGGAUGAGUUGAAAGAAACUUAUGGAUAUUCUUUCAUGAGCUCAGACAGUGAUAGAGAGUCACCGAAGACCCAAAAUGAGAGAGGCCAGUUUCUCUGACGUUACAAAUCACUUUACAUGGUGAUUUAGAAGCAAGCAAUAAGAAGAAAAAAUAAAUAAAAUCCCAAACUUUAGGACAUGGAUGGAAAAUGAGAAUUUAAACAAUGCAAAUAAUGUAGUCACUUCUGCAGGAUUGAAUGUUAUUGAUCCAGAGAUUCACUGUCAUAUUGAAGAAACCCAUGAAAAAAAUCACUAAGGGAAAUGGACUGCAGAUUUUUCGGGGACAUGUGAAUUUUUCAGGGACAGUCAUCCUAGGUUGACCAAGCUUUAGGUGCUGAUGUAUUCACAGAAUAGGAGGAC
Long non-coding RNA from Alligator mississippiensis (American alligator), 6017 nucleotides. RefSeq lists it as uncharacterized. NCBI's taxonomy places the organism in Eukaryota, Metazoa, Chordata, Crocodylia, Alligatoridae. The transcript has 3 exons. The record is from RefSeq and is a predicted model, not a curated record.